Molecule: ribosomal RNA, 497 nt
Filed under: uncultured bacterium
Lineage: Bacteria
Description: partial 16S ribosomal RNA
Rfam family: Bacterial small subunit ribosomal RNA
Source: RNAcentral
GAUGAACGCUGGCGGCGUGCCUAAUACAUGCCAGUCGAGCGAACGGACGAGAAGCUUGCUUCUCUGAUGUUAGCGGCGGACGGGUGAGUAACACGUGGAUAACCUACCUAUAAGACUGGGAUAACUUCGGGAAACCGUAGCUAAUACCGGAUAAUAUUUUGAACCGCAUGGUUCAAAAGUGAAAGACGGUCUUGCUGUCACUUAUAGAUGGAUCCGCGCUGCAUUAGCUAGUUGGUAAGGUAACGGCUUACCAAGGCAACGAUGCAUAGCCGACCUGAGAGGAUGAUCGGCCACACUGGAACUGAGACACGGUCCAGACUCCUACGGGAGGCAGCAGUAGGGAAUCUUCCGCAAUGGGCGAAAGCCUGACGGAGCAACGCCGCGUGAGUGAUGAAGGUCUUCGGAUCGUAAAACUCUGUUAUUAGGGAAGAACAUAUGUGUAAGUAACUGUGCACAUCUUGACGGUACCUAAUCAGAAAGCCACGGCUAACUACGUG